CGGGCCUUGCGCAUUAAGAUACGCCCAAGUGGGAUUAGCUAGUUGGUGAGGUAAUGGCUCACCAAGGCGACGAUCCCUAGCUGGUCUGAGAGGAUGAUCAGCCACACUGGAACUGAGACACGGUCCAGACUCCUACGGGAGGCAGCAGUGGGGAAUAUUGCACAAUGGGCGAAAGCCUGAUGCAGCCAUGCCGCGUGUAUGAAGAAGGCCUUAGGGUUGUAAAGUACUUUCAGCAGUGAGGAAGGCGGUAAGAUUAAUACUCUUAUCGUUUGACGUUAGCUGCAGAAGAAGCACCGGCUAACUCCGUG
RNAcentral lists this ribosomal RNA (308 nucleotides) under uncultured bacterium. Its description in RNAcentral is "bacterial SSU rRNA". It matches the Rfam family "Bacterial small subunit ribosomal RNA", at positions 207 to 507 of the family's 1533-position model. The record is from RNAcentral.